Serinus canaria (Common canary) is the source of this 263-nucleotide long non-coding RNA. RefSeq lists it as uncharacterized. The record is from RefSeq and is a predicted model, not a curated record. Lineage: Eukaryota; Metazoa; Chordata; Aves; Passeriformes; Fringillidae. The transcript is spliced from 3 exons.
UAAAUAUAGUGAUGGAGUCUGGCAGCAGGGAGGAAGUAUUUCCCAAGGACUCUGUUGCUGGUGUGUGUUAGGGCUUCAUAAAGCAUCAUUUCUGUUCCAGUCUUCAGCUGGGAAGAGAGUUGGAGGGGGCUGGAUGACAAAUGGUGAGCCUGCAUGGAUCUCCAAGAACUUGAGAUAAGAUGAGGGGGUGCUAUUGUCCAAUCGUCCCAGGCCAAGGGAGGAGAAUGGAUCCACAUGUGAUACAGGAAGAGAGACUGGAAUGC